This 788-nucleotide ribosomal RNA is filed under the name uncultured bacterium. RNAcentral describes it as "bacterial SSU rRNA". It matches the Rfam family "Bacterial small subunit ribosomal RNA", at positions 8 to 796 of the family's 1533-position model. The record is from RNAcentral.
AGAGUUUGAUCAUGGCUCAGGAUGAACGCUGGCGACGUGGAUAAGGCAUGCAAGUCGAACGCUCUUUACCACUUUUGUCGGAAUAGAAAUUUCUAUUAUUACAAAAGUGGUAAAGAGAGUGGCGAACGAGGUAGUAACACGUAGGUACGCACCCCAAAGUCAGGAAUAACUAGUCGAAAGAUUGGCUAAUACUUGAUAAUCUCUUCGGAGCAAAGCUUUAGCGCUUUGGGAGCGGCCUGCGGGCUAUCAGCUUGUUGGUAAGGUAACGGCUUACCAAGGCGAUGACGGCUAGGGGAGGUGAGAGCCUGACCCCCACCGAUGGCACUGAGACACGGGCCAUACACCUACGGGUGGCUGCAGUCGAGAAUCUUCCGCAAUGGGCGAAAGCCUGACGGAGCGACGUCGCGUGACUGAUGAAGUCCUUCGGGAUGUAAAGGUCUUUUAUGAGGGAGGAAGUUUAUUGACGUUACCUCAUGAAUAAGGGGUUGCUAAACUCGUGCCAGCAGCAGCGGUAAUACGAGUGCCCCAAGCGUUAUCCGGAAUCACUGGGCGUAAAGAGUGCGUAGGUGGUUUUGUUAGUUUUUUGUCAAAGCCUCCGGCUUAACCGGAGAAAGGCGAGAAAUACGGCAAAACUAGAGGAUGGGAGGGGUUUAUGGAACUCAUAGUGUAGGGGUGAAAUCCGUUGAUAUUAUGGGGAACACCAAAAGCGAAGGCAGUAAACUGGCCCAUUCCUGACACUCAAGCACGAAAGCGUGGGUGGCGAACGGGAUUAGAUACCCUGGUAGUCC